UGUUAAUUACCAGUUCUCACAGUGAUGAUGGUAGAUUUCUCUGAGGAUAUAUCACUGAGAAUGAUUUUGAAGAACUUUUUGACAUGGUGAUUACAAGUGCAUUGAAGCCUCUUUUCUUCUUUUAUUUACUAAGUCAGAGGCCUUUCCAGAGACAUGAGAAUAAUGAAGAUCAGGAGGCACUGCUAUCUCUGUAAGCCUGGCUGGUACUCUCAAGGAAAUGCUGUCCACCUCUGUGAAGUUCUGAAGAAAAUGACUGAGUGCAAUGGUCCGAUUUCAGCUCACCACAACCUCCACCUCCUGGGUUCCAGCAAUUCUCCUGCCUCAGCCUCUCAAGCACCUAGGACUAUCGGAGUCUGCAAUGAUGCCGGCUAAUUUUACUAUGGAAAUGAUGUUAGACAAAAAGCAAAUUUGAGUGAUUUUCUUACUCAAGUUCAAAAUGGGUCGUAAGGCAGCGGAGCCAAAUUGCAACAUCAACAAUCCAUUUGGCCCAGGAACUGCUAAUGAACAUACAGUGCAGUAGUGGUUCAAGAAGUUUUUCAAAGAAGAUGGGAGCCUUGGAAAUGAGGAGCAUAGUGGCUGGCCAUCAGAAGUUGACAAUGACCAACUGAAAGCAAUCAUUGAAGUUGAUCCUAUUACAACUACAUGAAAAGUUGUUGAAAUACUCAAUGUCCACCAUUCUACUGUCAUUCAACAUUUGAAGCAAAUUGGAAAGAUAAAAAGUUUUAAUCCCAAAGCAUGUAUUUUUAUGCUACAGAAAUAAACAAACUUACUUCUCCUUGGAAAAAUAUGUUGAUUGUAAUUCUUAUCUUAGCUUUUGCUAAGAUUUGAGUAUUUAUCCUCUCUAAAACUCACUUAAUCUUCAAUGUGGUGGGAAUGAAAGUUGGGGCUUUUAAGAGGCUAUUGGUUCAUGAGGGCUCUCAUGAAUGGGUUAAUCCAUUUGUGGAUUAAUGAGUUAAUGGUUUAAUGGGUUAUCAUCGGAGGAAAACUGGUGGCUUUAUAUGAAAAGAAAGACCUCAGUUAGCACGCAAGCAAACUCUGCUCAUCUGCCAUGGGAUACACUGCACUGCUUCAGGAUGCGGCCCCUUGAAAUUAGCCUUCAUAACAGUAAGAAAUAAAUUACUUUCAUUAUAAAUACUCAGUUUCAGAUGUUUUGUUAUAAGUAACAGAAAAUUAACUAAGACACUUAGAAACUUACUCCUCCAGGGUUUCUGUGCACCCUAUGAGCUGUCUAAUAUUAAGCAACAUACCCCUGAUACAUAUGCAUCCUCAGUAGCCAUGAAUAUAAAAGCUUGAUAUUGAAGGGCAAAGAUUUGCAUGCCAGUGUUCUCAGGGAUUGUGGAGAGUCUAUAACCAUAAUGUUUGAGAUAUCUAUAUCUAAGGCUUUCUUUUAGUUAAAUUAUUCCAAUCAAAUUAUAUUCUGAGGUCUACCAAAACUUGUAGUUAGUAGGUCUAUGCUUCUCUGUUUAUAAAUAAAUCCUUGGCUCUGUUAAUCAAAGAUGUGGGUAGGAGAGUCUUCAUUUUGAUGCAAUGCCAUUCAGUCACGAAUAUGGUUUGGAUCUAUGUCUCCACUCCAAUCUAAUGUCAAGAUGUAAUCCCCAGUGUUGGAGGUGGAGACUGGUGAUUUGGGUAAAAAUGCCGGACAGUAUAUUUGUUUCCCUUAGAACCCCAAGCAUCCCUUCCACUUGCUGACUUUUCACAUUAUUCAGAAUUCUCUUCCUUAGGCUUAUGCUAACAUGAAUACAACACAGAUCCAUAAGAAUGCAACGGAAGGUCUCAACCACUCUGUCAAUAGAAUAACUUAUCACCAUUCUCCCUAAAGUAUUCCAUGGGCUGUUUGAAUACUAUGUGAUGGGAACCCAUACACAGAAAUCUGUCUUAUAACAGAACAGGACAUGAACAGCCCACAGUGAUAAAAUGUAACCAAAUACACUAUUUCUGUAGAACAGAGAGAGAAAAACAACUAGUAGAUAAACCUAGAAUUUCACUUAUGUCUGUUUAAUGUACAGUUAUAUGCUGUUAAAUAAACAACUCUAGUUUUCUUAAUACCACUUAUGACAUGAAUUAUAAGUAAGACACAUGUAUUUUGCAAUAUAGACCUAAUUCUCUGUUACAUGAAAUUAAGGAAAUUUGUUUCUUGGACUCACUGUCUGUAAAACUGCUGCAGCUGACUCUUUUCACAAUCAUUUUGGAUAGUGGGUUUGAAAUAGUUGUAUGUUAUAAAGAUAGAAACAAACAUUUUUGAAUGUUUGCAUAAAUUGUAAUUGUCUGCUCAAUUCAACUUCUACAAUUUACUUAAUGUUUAAUAAUAAAAUAAAUAAAGGCUAUUUUCCUUGGGCAGUGGAAAAUCUUGGGGUUUGCAUGAGCAUUUUAUGGCAGGAAAAUUGGAUAUGAAAAUAAAGAAAACAUAAUUAAUCUUAAUUAAAAUGCAAUAAUUGCCUCAUUUGUUCAAAUAAGUGGAUAGAACUGAAGAAAUUCAGAAAUGGGAGAGAUGAAGGAAAUUACACACACACACACACACACACACACACACACACAUACACAGAAGAGGAAUUGUGUGGAGGAAACAUGACAAUUCAUGUGUAUUAUUGUCUCUAGCAAGAAUGUAGUUAAUCAGACAACAAGAAACUGAUUCAAAAUAAAGGAAACUCGUUAGGUUGUAAAGUUUGGGUUUUUUAUUGGCUAUAUCUAUUCCUUUUUUGUUGCAUUCAAAUGAAAGACUGCCCCUUCUCAUUCAUCAGAAGAGGGUCUCUGAAAGUGAAAAACCACAUUUAUCAAUUAUUUUUAAAAUCAUAAAUUUCAUGAUUGUUUAAUAGCAAUGGCUCAUGGGAAGUUAUGCCAUAACAUAAUAAACAAAUUACACGAAUUACAAUUUUUACCUUUCAUUAUAGAGACGUAAUUUUCCUAUUAAAAAUAAGGAUCCAUCUUAAGGGUUUUGAAGAUUGAAUUGGGUCUGAACUGAACUCGCAUAAACAAUUAAACUUACUAUACUACAUGAAUUUUAUUAUCUUUUAGUUGAACACAUUUUUUGACCUGGG
This 3035-nucleotide long non-coding RNA is filed under the name Callithrix jacchus (white-tufted-ear marmoset). Its description in RNAcentral is "lncRNA (ENSCJAG00000062265.2)". Lineage: Eukaryota; Metazoa; Chordata; Mammalia; Primates; Cebidae. The record is from RNAcentral.